This 465-nucleotide ribosomal RNA is filed under the name uncultured bacterium. RNAcentral's name for it is "partial 16S ribosomal RNA". It matches the Rfam family "Bacterial small subunit ribosomal RNA", at positions 28 to 507 of the family's 1533-position model. The record is from RNAcentral.
GACGAACGCUGGCGGCGUGCUUAACACAUGCAAGUCGAACGGAAAGGCCCUGCUUGCAGGGUACUCGAGUGGCGAACGGGUGAGUAACACGUGGGUGAUCUGCCCUGCACUUCGGGAUAAGCCUGGGAAACUGGGUCUAAUACCGGAUAGGAGCCAUUUUUAGUGUGAUGGUUGGAAAGUUUUUUCGGUGUAGGAUGAGCUCGCGGCCUAUCAGCUUGUUGGUGGGGUAAUGGCCUACCAAGGCGGCGACGGGUAGCCGGCCUGAGAGGGUGGACGGCCACAAUGGGACUGAGAUACGGCCCAGACUCCUACGGGAGGCAGCAGUGGGGAAUAUUGCACAAUGGGCGCAAGCCUGAUGCAGCGACGCCGCGUGGGGGAUGACGGCCUUCGGGUUGUAAACUCCUUUCGCUAGGGACGAAGCUUUUUGUGACGGUACCUAGAUAAGAAGCACCGGCUAACUACGUG